GUGCCUGUGAGGGGGAAACAGAGAGACGGUGGGUGACAGAGAGGAGGUGGGUGAGAGAGAGGAGGUGGGUGACAGAGAGAUGGGGGGUGACAGAGAGACGGUGGGUGACAGAAAGACGGUGGGUGAGAGAGAGGAGGUGGGUGACAGAGAGAUGGUGGCUGACAGAGAGACGGUGGGUGACAGAGAGGAGGUGGGUGAGAGAGAGGAGGUGGGUGACAGAGAGAUGGGGGGUGACAGAGAGACGGUGGGUGACAGAAAGACGGUGGGUGACAGAGAGGAGGUGGGUGACAGAGAGACGGUGGGUGACAGAGAGACGGUGGCUGACAGACGGUGGGUGACAGAGAGGAGGUGGGUGACAGAGAGACGGUGGGUGACAGAGAGACGGUGGGUGACAGAGAGGAGGUGGGUGACAGAGAGACGGUGGCUGAGAGAUGGUGGGUGACAGAGAGGAGGUGGGUGACAGAGAGGAGGUGGGUGACAGAGAGACGGUGGGUGACAGAGAGACGGUGGGUGACAGAGAGGAGGUGGGUGACAGAGAGACGGUGGGUGACAGAGAGGAGGUGGGUGACAGAGAGACGGUGGCUGAGAGACGGUGGGUGACAGAGAGACGGUGGGUGACAGAGAGACGGUGGGUGACAGAGAGGAGGUGGGUGACAGAGAGGAGGUGGGUGACAGAGAGACGGUGGCUGACAGACGGUGGGUGACAGAGAGAUGGUGGCUGACAGAGAGACGGUGGGUGACAGAGAGACGGUGGGUGACAGAGAGGAGGUGGGUGACAGAGAGACGGUGGGUGACAGAGGAGGUGGGUGACAGAGAGACGGUGAGUGACAGAGAGACGGUGGGUGACAGAGAGGAGGUGGGUGACAGAGAGACGGUGGCUGACAGAGAGACGGUGGGUGACAGAGAGGAGGUGGGUGACAGAGAGACGGUGGUGACAGAGAGGAGGUGGGUGACAGAGAGACGGUGGCUGAGAGACGGUGGGUGACAGAGAGAUGGUGGGUGGGUGACAAAGAGACGGUGGCUGACAGAGAGACGGUGGGUGACAGAGACGGUGGGUGACAGAGAGGAGGUGGGUGACAGAGAGACGGUGGGUGACAGAGAGGAGGUGGGUGACAGAGAGAUGGUGGCUGAGAGACGGUGGGUGACAGAGAGACGGUGGGUGACAGAGAGAUGGUGGGUGACAGAGAGAUGGUGGGUGACAGAGAGGAAGUGGGUGACAGAGAGACGGUGGGUGACAGAGAGGAGGUGGGUGACAGAGAGACGGUGGCUGACAGAUGGUGGGUGACAGAGAGAUGGUGGGUGACAGAGAGACGGUGGGUGACAGAGAGGAGGUGGGUGACAGAGAGACGGUGGGUGACAGAGAGGAGGUGGGUGACAGAGAGACGGUGGGUGACAGAGAGGAGGUGGGUGAGAGACGGUGGGUCACAGAUGAGGUGGGUGACAGAGAGAUGGUGAGUGACAGAGAGAUGGUGGGUGACAGAUGGUGGGUGACAAAGAGACGGUGGGUGACAGAGAGAUGGCGGGUGACAGACAGAUGGUGGGUGACAGAGAGAUGGCGCACAGACAGAGAGAUGAUGGACAGUCUGGCUCCAGAGCACAGAGGAAGAGACGGUACAUGCGGGGAGAGAGAGUAAAUGAUAGACAGACGGGGGAACAGGUAGAUGGUAGAUGGGUGACAGAAUAGAUUUACAGAUGAUACACGGGGGAGAGAGAAUAAAUGAAAGAUGGACGGGGGAGUAGAUGAUGGAUGGGGGAGUAGACGAUGGACGGGGGAGUAGAUGAUGGACGGGGGAGUAGAUGAUGGACGGGGGAAUAGAUGAUAGACGGGGGAGUAGAUGAUAGACGGGGGAGUAGAUGAUGGACGGGGGAAUAGAUAGAUGGGGGAAC
Capra hircus (goat) is the source of this 1887-nucleotide long non-coding RNA. RefSeq lists it as uncharacterized. The transcript is spliced from 3 exons. The record is from RefSeq and is a predicted model, not a curated record. Lineage: Eukaryota; Metazoa; Chordata; Mammalia; Artiodactyla; Bovidae.